GUGAACGCUGGCGGUAGGCCUAACACAUGCAAGUCGAACGGCAGCACCGUAAGAGCUUGCUCUUACGGGUGGCGAGUGGCGGACGGGUGAGGAAUACAUCGGAAUCUACUUUUUCGUGGGGGAUAACGUAGGGAAACUUACGCUAAUACCGCAUACGACCUACGGGUGAAAGCAGGGGAUCUUCGGACCUUGCGCGAUUGAAUGAGCCGAUGUCGGAUUAGCUAGUUGGCGGGGUAAAGGCCCACCAAGGCGACGAUCCGUAGCUGGUCUGAGAGGAUGAUCAGCCACACUGGAACUGAGACACGGUCCAGACUCCUACGGGAGGCAGCAGUGGGGAAUAUUGGACAAUGGGCGCAAGCCUGAUCCAGCCAUACCGCGUGGGUGAAGAAGGCCUUCGGGUUGUAAAGCCCUUUCGUUGGGAAAGAAAAGCAGCAGGUUAAUACCCCGCUGUUCUGACGGUACCCAAAGAAUAAGCACCGGCUAACUUCGUG
This 491-nucleotide ribosomal RNA is filed under the name uncultured bacterium. Its description in RNAcentral is "partial 16S ribosomal RNA". It matches the Rfam family "Bacterial small subunit ribosomal RNA", at positions 29 to 507 of the family's 1533-position model. The record is from RNAcentral.